RNAcentral lists this long non-coding RNA (900 nucleotides) under Sus scrofa (pig). RNAcentral describes it as "lncRNA (ENSSSCG00070006343.1)". Lineage: Eukaryota; Metazoa; Chordata; Mammalia; Artiodactyla; Suidae. The record is from RNAcentral.
GGGCUACCCAAAGCCCGAGGCAACACAGGCUGGCCUUGCUCUCACACAGGAACCCUGCAAAGGCCACCAAACCUCGCCAAGGCACAAGGCCCCACCCAGGGCCAGGAUGCUGGAGAGGAAGGGCACAGACUCUGAUGAAUGGGACUCGGGACUCGGAGACCCCGUUUCUUUCUCUGCCUAAACAAGGGAGGCCCCAAGUUUACACUGUAGCCCGGCGGACCUGCUGACAGACACCAGCUCAGGAGACACAGAAUGGCUCCCUGUCCCUUGCGCAGAGCCCUCCCGGGAACGCCAAAAGGAAGCAGGGCACGCCUGCAGGAAGCUCCUACUGGCUCAAGUCUGGACUUUAAGUGCUUCCAUAAGGAUAACAACUGCCAGGAAUGGAACUUCAAGAGAUUAUUUUGGCAAGUCUUGAGUUCCCGAUGCUCUUUCAUUGCAAAGUAACUCCUGGAUCACGGCUGGUUUUGUUUGUGGUCGGUUUCCUGGUGGUUUUGGAGGCUGAGGAUGAUCUCCACCCCUGGGGAAUUCAGGGGAAGCGUGGACCCUGAACCUCGGUACUCUGUCCUGCUACCCUUGGACGUGCCCCUUCACCAAAGGGCAGCCAUGGCACGAGGACCCUUAGGACACCAGGGACACAGCUAAGAACUGGAAGCGAAAGGAAACGAGGGAAGCAGUAUGUCCUCACCUCCACCACCACUGCCAAGGCACUGCCAAAGCUGUCCUGGACCUAGGGCACGGAGGGGUGCUUCGCUGGGACUUGGCGGCCUUCCAGGACUGACCAGGAGACACAAGGUGCCUAGAGACCAGGGGACACACCAGCAGGCAGAUCCCUGCCACGAGGGUCCCUCCUGAGUGCCACCAAGGGCUCUGACCCAAGAGUAGACCUGCCUGGGGUGGGGG